CCUACGGGAGGCAGCAGUGGGGAAUCUUGCGCAAUGGGCGAAAGCCUGACGCAGCGACGCCGCGUGAGGGAUGAAGGUCUUCGGAUCGUAAACCCCUGUCAGCAGGGAAGAACGGUCACUGUGCUAAUCAGCAGUGAAUUGACGGUACCUGCAAAGGAAGCACCGGCUAACUCCGUGCCAGCAGCCGCGGUAAUACGGAGGGUGCGAGCGUUAUUCGGAAUUAAUGGGCGUAAAGCGCUCGUAGGCGGUAUGUCAAGUCAAGGGUGAAAUCCCUGGGCUCAACGUGGGAACUGCAUUUGAAACUGGCAAACUGGAGUGUGGGAGAGGAUAGUGGAAUUCCAGGUGUAGGAGUGAAAUCCGUAGAUAUCUGGAGGAACAUCAGUGGCGAAGGCGACUAUCUGGCACAUAACUGACGCUGAGGAGCGAAAGCGUGGGUAGCAAACAGGAUUAGAUACCCUUGUAGUC
Molecule: ribosomal RNA, 465 nt
Filed under: uncultured bacterium
Lineage: Bacteria
Description: partial 16S ribosomal RNA
Rfam family: Bacterial small subunit ribosomal RNA
Source: RNAcentral